Salmo salar (Atlantic salmon) is the source of this 70-nucleotide non-coding RNA. The record is from Rfam. Lineage: Eukaryota; Metazoa; Chordata; Actinopteri; Salmoniformes; Salmonidae.
UCCCGUGUGGCUCAGUUGGUAGAGCAUGGUGUUUGCAAUGCCAGGGUUGAGGGUUCGAUUCCCACGGGGG